Molecule: unclassified non-coding RNA, 231 nt
Filed under: Hevea brasiliensis (rubber tree)
Lineage: Eukaryota; Viridiplantae; Streptophyta; Magnoliopsida; Malpighiales; Euphorbiaceae
Rfam family: U1 spliceosomal RNA (bases 1-120)
About the family: U1 is a small nuclear RNA (snRNA) component of the spliceosome (involved in pre-mRNA splicing). Its 5' end forms complementary base pairs with the 5' splice junction, thus defining the 5' donor site of an intron.
Source: RNAcentral
AUGGCCUAGGUCAGUGACUUCCAUUGCACGUGGGAGGGGUGCUGUCCUAAGGUCUCCCUAAGCGGGAGAGCCUACGUCAUAAUUUGUGGUAGUGGGGGCCAGCGUUCGCGCGGCCCCUAUCCAAUUCAUAAUACAACUUUAGACAGAUGGCUUGUUUAGCUGGGCGUUCUCAUUUGAGGAACUUUGCAGUUGGCUUGGCUUUCGUUGUGGACUGGAGAACAUCUCGCCCUU